Molecule: ribosomal RNA, 253 nt
Filed under: uncultured bacterium
Lineage: Bacteria
Description: partial 16S ribosomal RNA
Rfam family: Bacterial small subunit ribosomal RNA
Source: RNAcentral
CACGAAGGGGGCUAGCGUUGCUCGGAAUCACUGGGCGUAAAGGGUGCGUAGGCGGGUUUUUAAGUCAGGGGUGAAAUCCUGGAGCUCAACUCCAGAACUGCCUUUGAUACUGAAGAUCUUGAGUCCGGGAGAGGUGAGUGGAACUGCGAGUGUAGAGGUGAAAUUCGUAGAUAUUCGCAAGAACACCAGUGGCGAAGGCGGCUCACUGGCCCGGUACUGACGCUGAGGCACGAAAGCGUGGGGAGCAAACAGG